GGAGAGCCAAAAGCUGAUUGGUUAAUAAGCACAGAUCACACACUCACACCUCACAAAGCCUGAUAGCCUUCCCUUCCACUUUGCUUCUUUAUCUUUGUUUUCCUUUCCUCCUAUAAAUACUCCUCAGUUCAUUCCCACGGUUUAUUUCUCUCAACAAUCUAUAACGAUCCCUACCCACGAAGGACGCCAAGGAACUUUGAAGAUACUAGUAUCAGAGGGGCACAUCAGCAUUUUUUCAAUUGUACAUUGCGUGAAUUGCAGGGAGGGAGGGAAGGAGCAUUUGAGGCAAAGAGAGUGGUGGACAUCCAUCCCGAGUCCAGACAUGAGUCUAGCAUGUCUUGUGUGCCAUAGUGUAGAAAGCCCAUCUCAUUCAUUUAGGAGUUACUCGGUCUCAAGUUCAGACAAUGAAGGAAGAUGCUCUGCAAUUGCCAACUGCCUGGCCAGGAGGGCAUCUCUUCCAGCCCCAACAGCAAACUCCUCGAUCAUACGGUCAUCCAAAGUGACACCGCACCCAUCCAUCCCCAACAGUAGCGGCAUUCCAGGGACGCCAAGGCUGGUCCGGAGCUGUGCAGUGAGAAGGGACAUUGUGAGGGACUGGAAUUUCGAUGAGGUAGUGAUGGAGCAUUAGUAUUUUACUAGUAGCAAGUAUGAAAUAUAGCUAGCUGCUUUGUUUUGGGUGCAACUGGACCCUCAACUUCUUCUCUGUACAAGAAGAGUUUGAGCCUCUGCCUCUGCAAUCAUCCCAGACAAAAAUCCAAUGUGAAACUUUGUUCAUAUUUUGGCUAAUCGCAUUCCCUUCUAUAA
Molecule: RNA transcript, 804 nt
Organism: Vitis vinifera (wine grape)
Lineage: Eukaryota; Viridiplantae; Streptophyta; Magnoliopsida; Vitales; Vitaceae
Exons: 3
Source: RefSeq, a predicted model, not a curated record